Molecule: unclassified non-coding RNA, 524 nt
Filed under: Melitaea cinxia (Glanville fritillary)
Lineage: Eukaryota; Metazoa; Arthropoda; Insecta; Lepidoptera; Nymphalidae
Description: misc RNA ENSMCXG00005013499.1
Source: RNAcentral
AGUCUCGAAUGGUCAUCUACAUCAAUAGCGUCUUCGAUAUCUUCAUCACCACCGUCAUCGUUAUGUAAACCUAUGAAAAUAAAUAAUGAAACUAAAAAAAACGAAUUAAUGACAGUACUAACUACAUUGUUGGCUCAAAAAAAGGAAAAAAAUUAGUUCAUAAUCUACACCAUACCACCUUGAUCAUCUUCAAUAUCACCAUCAACUAAAAGUAGAAAAAUAAGAAAAAUCAACUCAAAUUUGAAGGACAUAAAUAUGCGUAUGGAAAUAGCACAUGAAGACAGUACAUUAGCAACAAUUGCUGAUAAUCCCUUUUCAUCAUCAUCAUAAAUCUGACACAGAAGCUGAAAUGAAUACAUUAGCAGCUAGAUCAUCAUCAUCAACAAAAAAUACUGUAUCCAAUGAUUCUUUGCUGGAAUGUAUCAAACAUAAUUAUAACAGUCUAUCAAAACAAUUAGCAAAUUUAAAAGGCCAUAUCUGCUGACGUUCCCAAAUCCUGUCUGAAAUAAAAAAAUAACAGUACU